CAGCCGCCGCGGUAAUACCGGUGGCUCGAGUGGUGGCCGCUAUUAUUGGGUCUAAAGGGUCCGUAGCCGGCUUGAUAAGUUACCUGGGAAAUCCGGUGGCCUAACCAUCGGGCGGCCGGGUAAUACUAUCGAGCUUGGGACUAGGAGAGACCAGAGGUACUCAUGAGGUAGGGGUGAAAUCCUGUAAUCUUAUGAGGACCACCAGUGGCGAAGGCGUCUGGUUAGAAUAGGUCCGACGGUGAGGGACGAAGGCUGGGGGCGCAAACCGGAUUAGAUACCCGGGUAGUCCCAGCAGUAAACGAUGCCAGCUAUGUGUUGCUGAAACCAUGGGUUCCAGCAGUGCCGAAGGGAAGCCGUGAAGCUGGCCACCUGGGAAGUACGGUCGCAAGGCUGAAACUUAAAGGAAUUGGGG
Molecule: ribosomal RNA, 412 nt
Filed under: uncultured microorganism
Description: bacterial SSU rRNA
Rfam family: Archaeal small subunit ribosomal RNA
Source: RNAcentral